AGGAUGAACGCUGGCGGCGUGCCUAACACAUGCAAGUCGAACGUCCUGUCUCGCAAGAGGCAGGGAGUGGCGGACGGGUGAGUACCACGUGGGUCAUCUACCGUGAGGUGAGGAAUACCGGCGAGAAAUCGCCGACAAGACCGCAUAGGCUCGAUGCAAGUCGAGCAAAGCUCUUUCGAGAGAGGGAGCGCCACACGAGGAGCCUGCGCCCGAUUAGCUAGCUGGUGGAGUAACGGUUCACCAGGGCGACGAUCGGUAGCUGGUCUGAGAGGACGAUCAGCCACACUGGGAUUGAGAACGGCCCAGACUCCUACGGGGGCAGCAGUGAGGAAUUUCGUCAAUGGGGGCAACCCUGAACGAGCAACGCCGCGUGCAGGAAGAGGUUUUCGGAUCGUAAACUGCUUUUCUCGGGGAAGAGAACGGACGGUACCCGAGGAAUCAGCCCCGGCUAACUACGUGCCAGCAGCCGCGGU
RNAcentral lists this ribosomal RNA (473 nucleotides) under uncultured bacterium. RNAcentral describes it as "SSU rRNA". It matches the Rfam family "Bacterial small subunit ribosomal RNA", at positions 26 to 521 of the family's 1533-position model. The record is from RNAcentral.